UCCCUUGCCUAUUCUACUCAACCAGUUUCGUUUUAGCAAUUCACCAAAUUUUCAUGAGCAUUAAACUGCAUAAGAUUUCAUUUUUUAUAAGCAUGAUAAAAAAAAAAAUGUGAACUUUACUUGAUGAUGCAUACAGUAUAAAUUCAUGUACUGCUUUUACAAUGGAUCCAUAAAAAGGGAAAUAGAGAAAUGUUUUGUAUGCUAUAUGAAUCAAACUUGAGUCUUGAGCUUUGUCGGGUGUGGGCUGUAUGGUUGUAAGUGUAGAGUCUGGCAGGGGAGUAAUGGCGGUGGCAGAUGCGGUCGGCGGCGGUGGUUCUCCUGCUGCUGUCGGCCGGAAUGGUGAGGGAGAGGCGGCCAUGGCAGCCGCUGUGGUCGCCGGAUAUUGAAGGGAAGGGUGUCGGUAUGGGGGGUCAGUCGGGGGAGGCUUAGCCUAGAGCUUCAGGCGGCGGCGUCCGUCGUCGUCAAGGAGGAGAGGGAGCAGGGGGAGUGACAGGGGGGUUCGAGGGAGAAGUAGCCGGAGCGGCGCUCGUCGCCGGGCACGAUGGAGUAGCAGCGGCAAUGGGGUCUGGCGGAAGUCAGAGAGAAGGGGGAUAGGGCACGGCGGCUCUGCCGCUACCUUCCAACCACGGUGAGAGAGAGAUGGACGGAGGCGGUGAUCCUCUGUUUUGAACCGAGAGAAGGGAGAACCGAGGGGCAGUGGUUGUCGCCGCUCGCUCCGGCGAGCGUCCGCGGCGAGAGAGUAGUCGAGAGAGGUGAGGAAGAAAGAGAGAGCAAGGGCGAGGGAUAGGGAAGUCAGGGAUGGCGGCGGCGGCGGCCGGCGCUGCUACCGUCCGCCGGAGGAGAGAAGAAGGCGAGGAGGGGAAGGCUGCUACGCAGCAGCAGCAGCUGCAUGUGUGUGUGUGUUUCUGAAUGUGUGUGUGCGUGUGUUUGAUAUGGGAAAGGGGGGAGGAGAAAUGGGCUAGGGCUUAGCUUAGGAUUGGGCCAUGGGAGUUGGGCCGAUUUUUAUCUAAAAUGGGCUGGGAAAAUUUAAAAAAAAAACCUUGAGUUGACUAUUAAUUGAAUUAUUGAGCCCAAUCCAUUUUUUAUUUAGUUAAGCUAUGCAGAUUUGUUUUUUUUAAAUGGACUGCACUAUUAAAUUAAUUAGACUUCUUUAAGUUUGAUUAAUUAUUUUUUUUAAUUUUCAUAAUAAUAUUAAAUUAUUAUUAUACGCAUAUUUUAAGUAAUUUCUUAUUAUAUGCCAAGCAUGACAUGAAUUUGCAUUAUAUUUUUGCAAUAAGAGUAUUUAAGAUUUAAUUGGUUUUAUUUAUAAUUCCAAUUAUUAAAGAAAGAUGAGUAAGAAUAUUGUUGGUGUUCUUAACUCAAGAGAAAUGUUUUCAAUUAUUUAUUCAUUAAAGUUUAAAAACCCGGCUAAGUGAAUCAUAGAAUAUUAAGCACUACACCAUGACUUAAGAUUAGCUUCACGAGACCUAUUAAGAAUAGAAUUUCUUGUAGGCUUUGUGACCAGGGGAUUAGCGCUGCUUUCCCAAGACAGGUUUAUAUGUGAUUAUGAUCUUCAGGCUUUGCCUAACCAGGUUGGCUGGCUGGUGCUGACGGGACGGAGCUGAGGCUAGAGUUAAAAUUCAUAUGUUAGACUUCCGCUGUAGCAAUUACUCUUAUACAUCUUUUGUUUUCUCAACUUAAGAUGACUUCAUGUCGAGCUUAAAUUUGAAAUUCUAGUUUUAUGCUAAUGAAUGUUGGUUGUCAGAAACAUGAAACAAAACUUGUGAUCCAAAGGGGCAUAGCCCGACUUUCUAUCC
Salvia miltiorrhiza (redroot sage) is the source of this 1796-nucleotide long non-coding RNA. RefSeq lists it as uncharacterized. The transcript has 2 exons. NCBI's taxonomy places the organism in Eukaryota, Viridiplantae, Streptophyta, Magnoliopsida, Lamiales, Lamiaceae. The record is from RefSeq and is a predicted model, not a curated record.